Molecule: non-coding RNA, 622 nt
Organism: Microcebus murinus (gray mouse lemur)
Lineage: Eukaryota; Metazoa; Chordata; Mammalia; Primates; Cheirogaleidae
Source: RefSeq, a predicted model, not a curated record
UUUCUAAGAUGGAAUUCCAGGGGAGUGGGGUAAGAUUCUCUGCCCUCCAUGGUUGAAGGAACAAAGUAUCUUUCCCCUGGAAAGAAGCAAACUGAUAAUGAAAAGAAAUGAGGGGUUUAACUUCAUAACCAAGAAUGAUUGAAAACAGGAGAAGGAAUUGCUGUCAAAGAUUGUACAGUACGAUGAAGUUGUACGGCCCUGUGAACACAGAGAUAAAGACAGAAUUCCUAAACGUAGGAACUUCCCAGUCCAGUGGAGGACAGAGACAGGAAGACAGCACUGUCACAUGGUGUUGCGGGACAGAUGCACGAGCAGAGCAGGGUGUCGGCACACGGGAAAUACCCGAUCGGACCGACAGAGGGAGAACCGUCUUUCCAGACGAGAUGAAGCUUCAGCUGAGUUGACAUCAGCAAGGCACGCGGGCGAAAGGCAUUCCAGAGAAACAAAGCAGCCCAUGCCAAGGCAGAGCGGUGGGAGGCAGGAGAGCCGGACUUGGCGAUUCAAUGCAGGCCAUUGUGGUGACACAGUGGAUGUGAAUGAGCAGCGGGCAAGAUAAGGAAGGGCUGCCUAGAAUAUCCUAAGGAAUUUGAAAGUAAAGGGGAGGUAUUGAAGGAGUCUGAGC